GGGGACAUGGCGCAGCGGUAGCGCGUCUGCUUUGCAUGUAGAAGGUCAGGGGUUCAAGCCCCCUUGUCUCCA
This 72-nucleotide transfer RNA is filed under the name Cytospora mali. RNAcentral describes it as "tRNA-Ala (TGC) (tRNA-Ala-TGC-1-1, tRNA-Ala-TGC-1-2)". It matches the Rfam family "tRNA". From Rfam's summary of the family: Transfer RNA (tRNA) molecules are approximately 80 nucleotides in length. Their secondary structure includes four short double-helical elements and three loops (D, anti-codon, and T loops). The record is from RNAcentral. Lineage: Eukaryota; Fungi; Ascomycota; Sordariomycetes; Diaporthales; Cytosporaceae.